This 478-nucleotide ribosomal RNA is filed under the name uncultured bacterium. Its description in RNAcentral is "partial 16S ribosomal RNA". It matches the Rfam family "Bacterial small subunit ribosomal RNA", at positions 28 to 507 of the family's 1533-position model. The record is from RNAcentral.
GAUGAACGCUGGCGGCGUGCUUAACACAUGCAAGUCGAACGAGAAGUGAAGACGGGAACCUUCGGGCGGAAGGCUUUAUUUCGAGUGGCGGACGGGUGAGUAACGCGUGGGUAACCUGCCUCAUACAGGGGGAUAACAGUUGGAAACGACUGUUAAUACCGCAUAAGACCACAGCACCGCAUGGUGCGGGGGUAAAAACUCCGGUGGUAUGAGAUGGACCCGCGUUCGAUUAGCCAGUUGGCGGGGUAACGGCCCACCAAAGCGACGAUCGAUAGCCGAUCUGAGAGGAUGACCGGCCACAUUGGGACUGAGACACGGCCCAAACUCCUACGGGAGGCAGCAGUGGGGAAUAUUGCACAAUGGGGGAAACCCUGAUGCAGCGACGCCGCGUGAGUGAAGAAGUAUUUCGGUAUGUAAAGCUCUAUCAGCAGGGAAGAAAAUGACGGUACCUGAGUAAGAAGCCCCGGCUAACUACGUG